Molecule: ribosomal RNA, 162 nt
Filed under: Shigella flexneri
Lineage: Bacteria; Pseudomonadati; Pseudomonadota; Gammaproteobacteria; Enterobacterales; Enterobacteriaceae
Also listed under: 4 other names
Description: partial 16S ribosomal RNA
Rfam family: Bacterial small subunit ribosomal RNA
Source: RNAcentral
AAAUUGAAGAGUUUGAUCAUGGCUCAGAUUGAACGCUGGCGGCAGGCCUAACACAUGCAAGUCGAACGGUAACAGGAAGCAGCUUGCUGUUUCGCUGACGAGUGGCGGACGGGUGAGUAAUGUCUGGGAAACUGCCUGAUGGAGGGGGAUAACUACUGGAAA